GUAGGGAAUAUUGGACAAUGGGCGAAAGCCUGAUCCAGCCAUGCCGCGUGAUAGAUGAAGGCCCUCUGGGUUGUAAAUAUCUUUUAUCUGGGAAGAAACUCCUCUAUUCUUAGAGGCCUGACGGUACCAGAGGAAUAAGCACCGGCUAACUCCGUGCCAGCAGCCGCGGUAAUACGGAGGGUGCAAGCGUUAUCCGGAUUCACUGGGUUUAAAGGGUGCGUAGGCGGGUUGAUAAGUCAGUGGUGAAAGCUCCGGGCUUAACUUGGAAACUGCCAUUGAUACUGUCAGUCUUGAAUGUCGUAGAGGUAAGCGGAAUGUUGCAUGUAGCGGUGAAAUGCUUAGAUAUGUUACAGAACACCAAUUGCGAAGGCAGCUUACUAUGCGAUAAUUGACGCUGAGGCACGAAAGCGUGGGGAGCAAACAGGAUUAGAUACCCUAGUAGUCC
RNAcentral lists this ribosomal RNA (445 nucleotides) under uncultured bacterium. RNAcentral's name for it is "bacterial SSU rRNA". It matches the Rfam family "Bacterial small subunit ribosomal RNA", at positions 354 to 796 of the family's 1533-position model. The record is from RNAcentral.